GACGAACGCUGGCGGCGUGCCUAAUACAUGCAAGUAGAACGCUGAAGGAGGAGCUUGCUUCUCUGGAUGAGUUGCGAACGGGUGAGUAACGCGUAGGUAACCUGCCUGGUAGCGGGGGAUAACUAUUGGAAACGAUAGCUAAUACCGCAUAAGAGUAGAUGUUGCAUGACAUUUGCUUAAAAGGUGCAAUUGCAUCACUACCAGAUGGACCUGCGUUGUAUUAGCUAGUUGGUGAGGUAACGGCUCACCAAGGCGACGAUACAUAGCCGACCUGAGAGGGGGAACGGCCACACCGGGAAUGGGAAACGGGCCAGACUCCUACGGGAAGGAAGAGUAAGGAAUUUUUGGCAAUGGGGGGAAGGCUUACCGAACAACGCCGCGUUAGGGAAGAAAGGUUUCGGAACGUAAAGCUCUGUUGUUAGGGGAGGACGAGUGUGGGAGUGAAAAGUUCACACUGUGACGGUACCUUACCAGAAAGGGACGGCUAACUACGUG
Molecule: ribosomal RNA, 495 nt
Filed under: uncultured bacterium
Lineage: Bacteria
Description: partial 16S ribosomal RNA
Rfam family: Bacterial small subunit ribosomal RNA
Source: RNAcentral